This 28-nucleotide non-coding RNA is filed under the name Mus musculus (house mouse). The record is from RNAcentral. Lineage: Eukaryota; Metazoa; Chordata; Mammalia; Rodentia; Muridae.
UGAGAGCACUUGGCACAACACCUGUAAA